This 468-nucleotide ribosomal RNA is filed under the name uncultured bacterium. RNAcentral describes it as "partial 16S ribosomal RNA". It matches the Rfam family "Bacterial small subunit ribosomal RNA", at positions 28 to 507 of the family's 1533-position model. The record is from RNAcentral.
GACGAACGCUGGCGGCGUGCUUAACACAUGCAAGUCGAACGGAAAGGCCCUGCUUUUGUGGGGUGCUCGAGUGGCGAACGGGUGAGUAACACGUGAGUAACCUGCCCUUGACUUUGGGAUAACUUCAGGAAACUGGGGCUAAUACCGGAUAGGAGCUCCCGCUGCAUGGUGGGGGUUGGAAAGUUUCGGCGGUUGGGGAUGGACUCGCGGCUUAUCAGCUUGUUGGUGGGGUAGUGGCUUACCAAGGCUUUGACGGGUAGCCGGCCUGAGAGGGUGACCGGCCACAUUGGGACUGAGAUACGGCCCAGACUCCUACGGGAGGCAGCAGUGGGGAAUAUUGCACAAUGGGCGGAAGCCUGAUGCAGCAACUCCGCGUGCGGGAUGACGGCCUUCGGGUUGUAAACCGCUUUCGCCUGUGACGAAGCGUGAGUGACGGUAAUGGGUAAAGAAGCACCGGCUAACUACGUG